UACAGAGGGGGCAAGCGUUGUUCGGAAUUACUGGGCGUAAAGGGCGCGUAGGCGGCCUUCUAAGUCGAACGUGAAAUCCCCGGGCUCAACCCGGGAACUGCGUCCGAUACUGGAAGGCUUGAAUUCGGGAGAGGGAUGCGGAAUUCCAGGUGUAGCGGUGAAAUGCGUAGAUAUCUGGAGGAACACCGGUGGCGAAGGCGGCAUCCUGGACCGGCAUUGACGCUGGGGCGCGAAAGCCAGGGGAGCAAACAGG
This 253-nucleotide ribosomal RNA is filed under the name uncultured bacterium. RNAcentral describes it as "partial 16S ribosomal RNA". It matches the Rfam family "Bacterial small subunit ribosomal RNA", at positions 524 to 776 of the family's 1533-position model. The record is from RNAcentral.